Non-coding RNA from Arvicanthis niloticus (Nile rat), 430 nucleotides. The record is from RefSeq and is a predicted model, not a curated record. Lineage: Eukaryota; Metazoa; Chordata; Mammalia; Rodentia; Muridae.
AUGGCUGCUGACAUCAGCCAGUGGGCCAGGCUGCUAUGCCUGCAGGAGGUGGACUAGCCGCCCCAGCAUGCCCUGCGGGUCGACUACGCUGGGCAAAGUGCUAAUACCCACCCAGGUUAUGAAUAGGCCCAGCAGCAUUUCAUGGGAUGGCCUUGAUCCUGGGAAACUCUACACUCUGGUCCUCACUGACGCAGAUGCUCCCAGAAGGAAGGACCUCAAAUUCAAGGACUGACACCACUUCCUGGUGGUCAACAUGAAGGGCAAUGACAUUAGCAGUGGCACUGUCCUCUCCGAUUAUGUGGGCUCCAAGUUCAAGGUGAAGUCCUUCGGCAAGAAAUACAACCUGGGAGCCCAGGUGGCUGGCACAUGUUACCAAGCAGAGUGGGACAACUAUGUGCCCAAACUGUAUGAACAGCUGGAAGGGAAGUAG